Long non-coding RNA from Esox lucius (northern pike), 3402 nucleotides. NCBI's taxonomy places the organism in Eukaryota, Metazoa, Chordata, Actinopteri, Esociformes, Esocidae. The record is from Ensembl.
GACCUGGGAUGGGCAGAUUCCACCUGUAGCCUUCAGCACUAUUUUGACAAAAACCGCUCAAACGACAUGGUUAAUGCAGUGUUUUGGAAUUCAUUCAAAUGCUGUCUUAACUCUUGAGAAGGACAUUUGGAAUAUUUUUACAUAAUCAGGUUUUGGGAAAAAAAAAGUACUGGUGCUUCAGACGGGUUAACAUCGCAUCAGAGUGCUCAAGGAGGCCAAGGACGAGCUAUUCUUUUAAAGGGCUCCGUGCACAUUCCACUUGGAAAUUCCUGAGAAAACUGGAACAGAAUCAACAGCGGGGCGUUAUGUCUCAGACUCCCGAGGUGACCAGUCCUGGUGUCCUGGGCCGAAUCGGGAGCUGGUUCUCCCCUUGGAGAGAGAGGGGGAACCCCGGCAGUUCCAGUAACGAUGCAUCUAACUCCCCAUCGGACGGCCAGAGCCCCAAGUCAGAGGAACAGGGGGCCAAGGGGGAGCCUGUGAAAAGAGGGGAAAGGCAAGAGGAGGGACAAAAUUCCCAGUCUUCCAAGCGGAAUCUCUCUAAGGAUUUUAAGAAGACAGACGCCCGACAGUCUACCCACAGGGACAGCCUUCCCUCCGCAACCAGCAGCCACAGAGAGCCCAGAGGAGGAGGUCCUGGGGACAAGGAGGAGUGGCUGAUUGCCUCUCGAGUAGAGGAGAGGGAGGAGGCUCAGAGACGGAGCAGUGGAGCGUGCCAGAAUCCUGCCCCGGAGAGGAAUUCCGGCCCUCCAACACGUGUGCUUUCAUCUUGCCUUGAAAAGGGAGCGGCCUGUGAGGACUCUGACCGUGGGGAACACACCCAGGCCCUGCUCCGAGCCCCCAUCCAGGGAGGCAAGAGGCUGAAUGUGUACCUGGAGGAGACCAGUGUGACCCAGAUCGGAACUGACGCCCAGACAAAGAACCGGGUUCUCCAAACCACCACCACCCGGGUGAAGACAAACAUCCAGGGUGUCUCCAGAGCAAAGUCAUACAAGAGUGUUGACCUCUCAUCAGAGAACAUCAAGAGGACUGAGAAGCACACCCCCGGGGUCAAAUGUCAUAGCGGUUACGGCGCGCCGGUGGGAGUGCUGCGUAAGUCUCCAACAGAGACACAGAAUAGCUCACAGAUAAUCCCUGAGAAGUCAGUCACAGACAGAGUCACAGACAGAGUCACAGACAGAGUCACAGACACAAUGGGGAAAAAGAGGCGCUCCAGGAAGAGCUCCUCUGGAGACGGAGGAACCAGUUCUCAGGAGAACACACCCACCAAACUCCAGCCUGCUUCUACAUCAUCAGUCUACAACCUACCCACGCCCGGAGAUUCCACCCAUUUCUCCUCCAUUAAAGACAAACAGGCCUCAGGCAUAUCGCAGAGGGCCAAUAGUCCCUCCGUCUGUGGCCGGGGGCAAGACAACCCCCAGCAGGACCAAGACCAGCCAGUACACGCCACCCUGGUGACAGUGGUGGACGGGGAAGGGGACGUGGACUUGUCCAAUGACGCCAGCCCGUGCCGGGUCGAGAGGCGCACAGAGAGUGCGGAGUCCAAACGGCGGAGCAUGAAAGUGUCCCAUGGCGAGGUGAAGUUCUUUGCAAAGAAAGUGGUUGUCGACCCGGAGCAGCCUCUGAGUCCAGUGGAAGAUGGUGGACACGUAGCCCCGGGCUUUAGCAAUGAAAGAAUGGAAACAAGAAAGGAUUCAGAGGGAAUGGAUGAGGGGAAUCUGAAACCAGAGCAGAGACCAACUCAUCUGAAGAAAGUGGAUGAGGAAACCAAUACCCCUCCUCGACCUAUUGGGCGGAUCGCAGAUAGGAUCAGCCUGUUCGAGGGGAGGGCAACGGGGGUUUCCAGUCCCGGCAAAACGAAUCCGAGGAGCGCAAAUGUUUCUCCCGCUCGGAAAGUCACAGAGCGACUAAGGACAGAUGUAGAAAGAGAGGCAGAGCUUCCGAAUCAGCGGGCAAAGUCAUUAGAACGUGAAAGCGUCAGGUCCAGAUCGGCCCCUCCUAUCCAAAACAAAGUACUGAUGCCGGAGCGCAUGAAGAACUCGGCGGAGGCUCACAAGAUGGGGGACAAAACAACACUGCUCCAACUGACUUCUGGUGGGGCAGGAAUUACCAGAGAUGCUAAAUUUUCUCCUGCUCCUGCUGUGUUAAACAUAAAACUGGACAUUCAGGAUGAACUGGCCAGCGCAGAGAAUACUUCUACUCCAACCUCCCUGAAUGCAAGGAUAACAUCCAAACCACAGGCAGAUGCCUCCAAAGCAGCCGUCCUUCUGUUUCCUAAGGAAGAUGAGACAGACUCCAAAACAAAGGACAAAGAGGCUACUAAAACGGUGGACUUACCAAAGACACCUACCAAUAUUGACCUAAAUAUUUCAGCUAAAGGGGGGAGUGAUCCAAACUCAACCCCAUUGACCCCUCAGGUGUGCUCAACUAAUGCUGUCAGUCAACAAUCCAAAGCCCCCGGCAGGCAAAACUCCAGAUCCAAGAGAAGGAAAAGCAAAGGAGAAGAGUCAGCCAAUUUGAGCUGUGACAUUAGACAGGACGUGAGACACCCAGAGCAGGAGAUCGUCAACAGCAAACAGGAAGAGGCAGGCACAACAAAGAUGUCUGCUUCAUCUGAACACGGUGUUAAGGCCAUUACAUCACCAGAAGCUAGUCAAUCUGUAAAUGUUGAUUUAGAUUUUAAAAAGAAACUAGUCAGCGAAAAAAGCAAGCAAAAAGUCAGUAAAACUGAAAGUAAACAAGAGAAAAGCACAAGGCAGAAAAUGGACACUGCACCUGAGCACGAAGUAAUGACGCUCACAUCACCAAAAUCUAAUCAAUCUGUAGACAUUGAGUCAAAUGUAAAAAAACAAUCAGUCUGUGAAAACACCCAGCAAACAGCCAUUAAAUCUGAAAGUAAACCAGAGACACGCACAAAAAAGAAAAUGUCCACUGCUUCUGAACAUAAUGCAAAGAAGGUAACAUUGCCACAACCUAGUCAGUCUGUAGAUGUUGUCUUUGAUGUAAGAAAACAAUCAGUUGUUGAAAAUAACCUAUCUGAAAUUAAACAAAAACAGACAGGUAUAAAAAAGAAAAUGGUGGCUGCUUCUGAGUGGGAGGUAAAGAAGGUAAUGCCGCAACAACCUUGUCAAUCUGCAGACGGUGAAUCUGAUGUUAAAAAAACUGUCAAAUCAGUCAGUGAAGACAGCCAGCAAACUGCCUGUAAGACGGAAAGUGAACAACAGACAGGCACCAAAAAGAGGUCUGCUGUGUCUGAGCAGGAUGUAAUAAAAGUCCAAUUACCACUAUCUAUUCAGAAUGUAGAGAUUAAAACAAAAGUUGAAAAACAGUCAGUCAGCGAGAAAAGCCAGCAAACCCCCCAAAAAUCUGAAAGUAAACAAGAGACGGGCACAACCGCUAAAAUGG